UACGUAGGGGGCAAGCGUUGUCCGGAUUUAUUGGGCGUAAAGAGCGUGUAGGCGGCCUGACAGGUCUGCUGUGAAAACUCGAGGCUCAACCUCGAGAUGUCGGCGGAAACCGUCUGGCUAGAGUCCGGAAGAGGAGAGUGGAAUUCCUGGUGUAGCGGUGAAAUGCGCAGAUAUCAGGAAGAACACCGAUGGCGAAGGCAGCCCCCUGGGCUAACACUGACGCUCAGGCACGAAAGCGUGGGGAGCAAACAGG
Molecule: ribosomal RNA, 253 nt
Filed under: uncultured bacterium
Lineage: Bacteria
Description: partial 16S ribosomal RNA
Rfam family: Bacterial small subunit ribosomal RNA
Source: RNAcentral